UACAGGGGGUGCAAACGUUGCUCGGAAUUAUUGGGCGUAAAGCGCGCGUAGGCGGCUAUCUAAGUCGGAUGUGAAAGCCCCUGGCUUAACUGGGGAAGUGCACCCGAAACUGGGUAGCUAGAGUGCAAAAGAGGGUCGCGGAAUUCCCGGUGUAGUGGUGAAAUGCGUAGAUAUCGGGAGGAACACCAGUGGCGAAGGCGACUACCUGGCCUGUUCUUGACGCUGAGGCGCGAAAGCUAGGGGAGCAAACGGG
Molecule: ribosomal RNA, 253 nt
Filed under: uncultured bacterium
Lineage: Bacteria
Description: partial 16S ribosomal RNA
Rfam family: Bacterial small subunit ribosomal RNA
Source: RNAcentral